Molecule: ribosomal RNA, 447 nt
Filed under: uncultured bacterium
Lineage: Bacteria
Description: partial 16S ribosomal RNA
Rfam family: Bacterial small subunit ribosomal RNA
Source: RNAcentral
CCCAGACUCCUACGGGAGGCAGCAGUGGGGGAUAUUGCACAAUGGGGGGAACCCUGAUGCAGCGACGCCGCGUGGGUGAAGGAGCGUUUCGGCGCGUAAAGCCCUAUCGGCAGGGAAGAAGGAGGACGGUACCUGACUAAGAAGCCCCGGCUAACUACGUGCCAGCAGCCGCGGUAAUACGUAGGGGGCAAGCGUUAUCCGGAUUUACUGGGUGUAAAGGGGGCGCAGACGGCAGCGCAAGCCAGGAGUGAAAGCCCGGGGCCCAACCCCGGGACUGCUCUUGGAACUGCGCGGCUGGAGUGCAGGAGGGGCAGGCGGAAUUCCUGGGGUAGCGGUGAAAUGCGUAGAUAUCAGGAGGAACACCAGUGGCGAAGGCGGCCUGCUGGGCUUUUACUGACGCUGAGGCUCGAAAGUGUGGGGAGCAAACAGGAUUAGAUACCCGCGUAU